UACAGAGGUCCCGAGCGUUGUUCGGAUUCACUGGGCGUAAAGGGUGCGUAGGUGGUGAGGUAAGUCGGAUGUGAAAUCUCCGAGCUCAACUCGGAAAUGGCAUUGGAAACUACCUUGCUCGAGGGUUGGAGGGGGGGACUGGAAUACUUGGUGUAGCAGUGAAAUGCGUAGAUAUCAAGUGGAACACCAGUGGCGAAGGCGAGUCCCUGGACAACUCCUGACACUGAGGCACGAAAGCUAGGGGAGCAAACAGG
RNAcentral lists this ribosomal RNA (254 nucleotides) under uncultured bacterium. RNAcentral describes it as "partial 16S ribosomal RNA". It matches the Rfam family "Bacterial small subunit ribosomal RNA", at positions 524 to 776 of the family's 1533-position model. The record is from RNAcentral.